Molecule: long non-coding RNA, 464 nt
Filed under: Numida meleagris (helmeted guineafowl)
Lineage: Eukaryota; Metazoa; Chordata; Aves; Galliformes; Numididae
Description: lncRNA (ENSNMEG00000005064.1)
Source: RNAcentral
CUAAGGCCUCCGCACGCAGAACCACACAUGACACAUCUCUUCGUCCCGUGUUACUUCACUCCUGCUAGAAAUGCCUUUGGACCAUGGUGGAGUGAUUCACAUUCCAGGCUGUCCCAAACCCCCCCCAGAACGCGAGGUCUCCUCUGCCCUGCCCUUGUACUGCCAGGCCACAGCACGCAACAGUCAACUGCACUUGAACAAGCUGUUUUUCUGCCUUUGAAGCUAUUAUUACAAAAAAUAUGAAACAAUGUGGCUGCUCUGAAAAUACACCAAUUAAUAUCAGCGUUUCAUUUCUUAAUGAGAACUAACUACAGCUACUGUCCUCUCAGACUGCUGAUGAACUGCAUCAUCUGCAUGGAAAAACAGAAACAACUAAACCCUUUUCCUACAUCUCAAGAACACCCUUCGCCUCGCAGAGAACACUUCAAAAAUAAAUGCAUGCUGUUAUCGGUGGUAUCUUUUCA